CUAUACAUGACUCUGCGCAUAUCAAUAAGCGGAGGAAAAGAAACUAACAAGGAUUCCCUUAGUAACGGCGAGUGAAGCGGGAAGAGCUCAAAUUUGAAAUCUUCAAGGUUUUACCUUGACGAAUUGUAGUUUAAAGAAGUGUUUUCUGCUGAAGUUUUGGUAAAAGUUCUUUGGAAUAGGACAUCAUAGAGGGUGAGAAUCCCGUAUUUGACCAUUAUUUUCAGCUUUGUGAUACACUUUCAAAGAGUCGGAUUGUUUGGGAAUGCAGUCCAAAAUGGGUGGUAAAUUUCAUCUAAAGCUAAAUAUUGGCGAGAGACCGAUAGCGAACAAGUACCGUGAGGGAAAGAUGAAAAGAACUUUGAAAAGAGAGUUAAACAGUACGUGAAAUUGUCAAAAGGGAAGCGUUUGACACCAGUGUUGUUUUUCUGAAAAUCAAUUAAAGAACUGUUUAUGCUAAGUUGUUUAGACUUUAUCAGCUAACUGUUUAGUUUUGAGCUUUUCUUUAAUGCACUUUUCAGUUAACAAGUCAACAUCAAUUUCUUUUGCUGUAAAAAAGCUUGAGGAAGGUGGCUUGAGAUUCGUCUUAAGUGUUUAUAGCCUCUUGCCUAUGCAGUCAGAGAGAUUGAGGUCUGCAGCGUAGAUCCUUCGGGGCUAAAUGCAUUUGUGCUAAGUUAUAGCAUUUUAUAGACAACUUGUUGACUAUGAUUUGUCUUGUAGCUUACUCGCUUAUGUUAUUUUACCUACGCUUAGGAUGUUGACAGCAGUAUAGACUGU
RNAcentral lists this ribosomal RNA (774 nucleotides) under uncultured Neocallimastigales. Its description in RNAcentral is "partial large subunit ribosomal RNA". It matches the Rfam family "Eukaryotic large subunit ribosomal RNA", at positions 22 to 637 of the family's 3401-position model. Lineage: Eukaryota; Fungi; Neocallimastigomycota; Neocallimastigomycetes; Neocallimastigales. The record is from RNAcentral.